RNAcentral lists this small nuclear RNA (22 nucleotides) under Arabidopsis thaliana (thale cress). RNAcentral describes it as "snRNA_16221". Lineage: Eukaryota; Viridiplantae; Streptophyta; Magnoliopsida; Brassicales; Brassicaceae. The record is from RNAcentral.
AAAAGUGACUACUUUGCAAAUU